Molecule: non-coding RNA, 1818 nt
Organism: Danio rerio (zebrafish)
Lineage: Eukaryota; Metazoa; Chordata; Actinopteri; Cypriniformes; Danionidae
Source: RefSeq, a predicted model, not a curated record
UGUGUAAAUAAUUAAAAUUUUAAACAUACUUGUAUUUCAGCUACAUUAACUCAGCCAGUAAUGUUUAUAUCCAUGUGUCUACAUGUGUGUUUAGACUGGUAUGGUACGCUGUGAACACUGCUGUUGGGACACCUGAUUACAUUUCUCCAGAGGUUUUAAUGUCUCAAGGAGGGACUGGUUAUUACGGUCGUGAGUGUGACUGGUGGUCUGUUGGUGUUUUCAUUUAUGAGCUUCUAGUGGGUGAGAAGUGUCAGCUUCAUAUGCAUCUCUUGAAGUUUUAUUUCAGUGUUCUCAUAAUCAAAUGUUUUCUUCUGUCGAUCUGGGCAGGCGACACUCCAGUUCAUUCCGAGUCUCUGGUGGGCACAUAUGGAAAGAUCAUGGAUCACAAGAACAUCUUAACUUUCCCAGAUGAUAUUGAAAUGUCAAAGGAUGGCAAAGACCUCAUCUGUGCCUUUCUGAGUAGCAAGGAGGUGAGGCUUGGCCGGACUGGAGUGGAUGAAAUAAAAUGUCACCCCUUCUUCAAGAACGAUCAGUGGACCUUCGACACCAUAUGAGACACAAAAAAAUGCCAAAAACAGACACCCAAAACCCUACGCAUGCUGCGCGACACAGGGGCGUGAACCUGCAGGACCCAGACGCACAGUCCACUCGAAGCUGCUGUGGGAACUAAAGGCCUGUCAACACUCCAUCAUGAGAGACCACGACACCUUCUCCUCCCUAAAAUCCCACCCUUCACCCUUUCACCUCCCAAGACGGAUAAGGAAAGAGAAAGAAAGAGAAAGGAAUACCAGGAAGAGCUCAAGGAAAACGCCUCACUCGUGCCACAAAGAGAUUUUUCAAGGAAGACUUCUGGUGGACGGGGCUGAAAGCGAACGGACGAUGGACUCUGUCAUGUCUAGCAGUAAAUAUGGAUUCUGUAUUACUUUCAAGUCAACAAGAAUUUCCACCUCAGUUCAUCCUCAUUAUGCAAGCACCAUGUAGAGAUAAAGGAUUGGAAAAGAGAUAAAGGAACACAGAAUGGACUGAAGAGUUAUUAUUAACCAACAAACCUUCCCAUUCUCAGCCCCUGGAAGGGUCCGUAAUGCCCCUUUUAACAUUCAGAAGUCUUCAAGCGAAAUCUACACUGAGUAUCCAUAUGGUCUGGGCUCUCCCAUUUAAUCUCAACUCUAACACUGGAAGAAAGUCAGCACCUUAAACUUAAACUAACUCUUCAGUUAUUCAUCUAUGAGCCGCAUCUACUAAAUUUAUAACACAAAGGAACACGGAAGCAGAACUUCAUAUGUUUUAUUUCAGCUUUAUUUAUUACCUUUGUUUGAACUGGUCUCCCUUUGCGCAAAUAUUGUGGGAAUGCAGAUUUUUGCCCACAAAGGCCCUGAAAAAGUGGAAAAAAACAGAAGUGCCUACUCCGUUUUUUCCGUGUUCUUUGUUUUGGGCUUGAUUGAGGUCGGCUGACCAUCUUAAAAGUAGCGGUUUUGAGACGAUCCCGAGGUAUACGGGCAAUAAGCUGUGAGAAUAACUUGCGGAGCGUGCUAGUAAACAGAGGAGUCGUUUCAGUUUUGUUUUAUGAAUGCUGUUUGUUGAUGUGUAUUAAAAAGAAUUUUAUUUCAGAUUGAUUUUAGUCAGUAAUUUAAUGGGUUACCAAUACAUUUAUAUGGUCAUUUAGGGAAUGAAUUAGGUAUCAUGAUAAGGUGUCACACAGCUAGAAGUCAUUUGUCAUGUGUCUUCAGGUCCACCUUUUUUGUGGAAUAAGAUCUGAUCUCGUUAACACCUCUGUCAAUUUUAAAUAAAGCUGUGCUGUUCUGCUAUGAAUGAAACGUG